This 494-nucleotide ribosomal RNA is filed under the name uncultured bacterium. Its description in RNAcentral is "partial 16S ribosomal RNA". It matches the Rfam family "Bacterial small subunit ribosomal RNA", at positions 28 to 507 of the family's 1533-position model. The record is from RNAcentral.
GACGAACGCUGGCGGCGUGCUUAACACAUGCAAGUCGAACGGUGAAGCGCCUUCCUUUUUGGUGGGUGUGGAUGAGUGGCGAACGGGUGAGUAACACGUGUGUAACCUGCCCCCUUCUUCUGGAUAACCGCAUGAAAGUGUGGCUAAUACGGGAUAUUCUGGGUCUGUCGCAUGAUGGGUCUGGGAAAGAUAUUGUUUCGGUGGGGGAUGGGCUCGCGGCCUAUCAGCUUGUUGGUGGGGUGAUGGCCUACCAAGGCGGUGACGGGUAGCCGGCCUGAGAGGGUGGACGGUCACACGGGGACUGAGACACGGCCCAGACUCCUACGGGAGGCAGCAGUGGGGAAUAUUGCACAAUGGGCGCAAGCCUGAUGCAGCGACGCCGCGUGAGGGAUGGAGGCCUUCGGGUUGUGAACCUCUUUCGCCAGUGAAGCAGGCCUGCCUCGUUUGUGGGUGGGUUGACGGUAGCUGGAUAAGAAGCGCCGGCUAACUACGUG